CAGUAGUGUGACUAAUCCUUUAAACUAUAAUGCUUGACUAUUCAUACUAGGGUUGCUGUAGUUUGAUUGCAUAUACACUUCGAUCUUAGCCAUAUGGGUUCUUGCAAUGUAUGUUGGCUACAUUAAAUUUAUUGUAAGAAUAGGAUGUGCACCCAUAUAGGAUCUAUCAUCCUUGGUAGAUAAGAAAGUUAGUCCUAUAUAAUUUAUGAGAUCGAGUUCAGAAGAUCUUGGUCAGGACAUAGUGAAUGAUGGAAAAAAAAUUUAUAGUUUUCAUAAUAGAAACUUGAGUCGAAUAAAUUUGAUAUAUGACAGACGAUAGAAUUUGAUGAGAAAUUCAUAACCUCCAUCUUAUCGAGACUUGUAAUAAAAGGACUAUAUCAUAUAGUAAUUGUACCUAGAGAUUCAUUUAUUUUAUUCUACUGGAAUACCGCUACAUACUGCUAGGCAUAACUAGUGGAUUAUGAGACUUUUGAAACUUAUUUUGAUGAUCAAUAAUUCUAAUAGAGUGAGUUAGAAUUAUUUCAAUCUGUUGAAAGGAGUUUCGAUGAUAUUCAUGAUGAAGAUCACAAUA
This 571-nucleotide long non-coding RNA is filed under the name Elaeis guineensis (African oil palm). RNAcentral describes it as "long non-coding RNA (EGUI_LNC074101)". Lineage: Eukaryota; Viridiplantae; Streptophyta; Magnoliopsida; Arecales; Arecaceae. The record is from RNAcentral.